Molecule: long non-coding RNA, 831 nt
Organism: Ananas comosus (pineapple)
Lineage: Eukaryota; Viridiplantae; Streptophyta; Magnoliopsida; Poales; Bromeliaceae
Exons: 4
Source: RefSeq, a predicted model, not a curated record
AAAACGGCAAUAAGACUGCUCCCACCACCGACUUUAAUAAUACGAGGGCUCGAAGGUUUCCCCUCUCGUCUCUUCUCUUGUUAAAUUGAGAUCGGCGGGCGAGAUCUCCUCCUCCGCCCCUCGAUCGAUCCAUUCAUUUUAGGAUUUUCAGGUUUUCUACUUCUGAAGCCCUUUCCGUAAGGUGAAUUGUGCAAUUAGUCACUGAGCUUAUCAUGAAGUUUUACUCAGAUUAGCGAACUUUUGCAAUUGAUGGAAUAAAUUUCACUUCAAUUCCGUCUCAGAAGGAUCACUCAACCAAACUCUAUUUGGUUUCCCUAACACAGAGAUGAUGUGGUGGUUGAUUAACUUACAUUAUUUCAAGACUAUUCUAUGUCAAUUGAUACACAUCUCGUGGAGGCAGACAAUGUAGUGUAACACAUAAUCAAGAAGCUUUUGGCUGAACAGUGGAUGGAGGCAUCAAAUCAUUCAGGCGGGAAUAUUCUAUAGAAAAGCAAUUCAGGUAAGAGUCUGAGUACCAAAUUCAUCUCUAAAGGUGAUUCUAUUAAUUUACACACAGCUUGACACAUGGUGCAAUCAGAAGCGUGGGAAACUACCUUGCCUCUCUUUUAAUGAAAUGUUCUUGCGAGUGCUAUGAAACAAGAAUGAUGCUUGUGAUUUUCGCAUGACUAUGUUUUCCUUGUGACAAAUUAUGUAGACUGGUUAUUUCAGACAAGAUUUUUAGCAGCUUCUGCAGUUAUGAUAAAUGAAUCUGUUAUAAGAACUGUUAUGCUAAAGCAGAUUGAUAUAUAUUUUUAAGUUGUUUCCCUGGUAAUGAAAAUUGGAUGCAUCAUA